Molecule: long non-coding RNA, 283 nt
Filed under: Homo sapiens (human)
Lineage: Eukaryota; Metazoa; Chordata; Mammalia; Primates; Hominidae
Description: non-protein coding lnc-HTR4-4:1
Source: RNAcentral
AGAAGGUCAGCUCAGCCUAAUGAAGGGGUGGUGAGGGAAGAUCCCAAGAUCUGCCUAGUUGUCAGGUGAACCUACUCCUUCAAAAGCAGAAACAAAGCCGAAAAAGGCACCAGGAAAGGAUAAAUCUUCAGACCAAAAAAAGUGAAAAAUGAAAAGGAGAAAGCGGGAGCAAAGAGAAAACAGGCCAAAGAUGUAACCAGAAUAUUUACCUGCUUAAAAUGGAGAAACUAAAACCGAGAAGAGUCCAGCUUCUAAUGAAGCCAGAGAGAAAGAAGCCAGGUCU